Mytilus californianus (California mussel) is the source of this 445-nucleotide long non-coding RNA. RefSeq lists it as uncharacterized. The record is from RefSeq and is a predicted model, not a curated record. The transcript is spliced from 2 exons. Lineage: Eukaryota; Metazoa; Mollusca; Bivalvia; Mytilida; Mytilidae.
UACCAAUGAGCACAAAACUAAUCUUAAACUUAUAUUUAUUUUCAGAAAUGUCAAUAAAUAAUUAUCUAGUUUGACUUGAAGACAUUUAUUUAGUAUUUACAUGUACAAAAAAUCCAGAUUAUAGCGCAGUAAGAACAAAGAGAUUUUGCCUAUGUCAAGUGUUAAGCAACAAUAGACUCAUUUGUUCCUUCAAGGUACCAUAAUUCACUUAGGAGUGAAAUAUAUAACUGAUGGCAACCAGCGGAACAGGAAUGUAAAAACACAUUAAAAAUGUGUUUAUCAACACAUGGACGUCACCUAUGGUAUUGGUUUGAGCGGUGACGUCAUUCAAACGAGAUUUUACUAAACGCAGUGUUUACAAAGUACGAAUACUGAACUACGAUUUUUACUGUAUCUGUCAUGUAUUUCUGAUUUAGAAUGCUAAAUAAAUAAACAAAAAUUUUAA